UUUAAGUCAGAUGUGAAAUCCCCGGGCUCAACCUGGNNACUGCACCUGAUACUGGGGGGCUAGAAUGUGGGAGAGGAGAGUAGAAUUUCCGGUGUAGCGGUGAAAUGCAUAGAGAUCGGAAGGAAUACCAGUGGCGAAGGCGGCUCUCUGGACCAACAUUGACGCUGAGGUGCGAAAGCGUGGGUAGCAAACAGGAUUAGAUACCCUGGUAGUCCACGCCGUAAACGAUGUCAACUAGCCGUCAGGCCCGCUUUAGGGUNUGGUGGUGNAGNUAACGUAUUAAGUUG
Molecule: ribosomal RNA, 287 nt
Filed under: Thiothrix nivea DSM 5205
Lineage: Bacteria; Pseudomonadati; Pseudomonadota; Gammaproteobacteria; Thiotrichales; Thiotrichaceae
Description: 16S ribosomal RNA
Rfam family: Bacterial small subunit ribosomal RNA
Source: RNAcentral